UUUUAUUUGAGAGUUUGAUCCUGGCUCAGGAUGAACGCUGGCGGCGUGCCUAACACAUGCAAGUUGAGCGAUUUACUUCGGUAAAGAGCGGCGGACGGGUGAGUAACGCGUGGGUAACCUACCCUGUACACACGGAUAACAUACCGAAAGGUAUGCUAAUACGGGAUAAUAUAUUUGAGAGGCAUCUCUUGAAUAUCAAAGGUGAGCCAGUACAGGAUGGACCCGCGUCUGAUUAGCUAGUUGGUAAGGUAACGGCUUACCAAGGCGACGAUCAGUAGCCGACCUGAGAGGGUGAUCGGCCACAUUGGAACUGAGACACGGUCCAAACUCCUACGGGAGGCAGCAGUGGGGAAUAUUGCACAAUGGGCGAAAGCCUGAUGCAGCAACGCCGCGUGAGUGAUGAAGGCCUUCGGGUCGUAAAACUCUGUCCUCA
This 433-nucleotide ribosomal RNA is filed under the name Clostridioides difficile. Its description in RNAcentral is "bacterial SSU rRNA". It matches the Rfam family "Bacterial small subunit ribosomal RNA", at positions 1 to 441 of the family's 1533-position model. Lineage: Bacteria; Bacillati; Bacillota; Clostridia; Peptostreptococcales; Peptostreptococcaceae. The record is from RNAcentral.